GAUGAACGCUGGCGGCGUGCCUAAUACAUGCAAGUCGAGCGAACGGACGAGAAGCUUGCUUCUCUGAUGUUAGCGGCGGACGGGUGAGUAACACGUGGAUAACCUACCUAUAAGACUGGGAUAACUUCGGGAAACCGGAGCUAAUACCGGAUAAUAUUUUGAACCGCAUGGUUCAAAAGUGAAUGACGGUCUUGCUGUCACUUAUAGAUGGAUCCGCGCUGCAUUAGCUAGUUGGUAAGGUAACGGCUUACCAAGGCAACGAUGCAUAGCCGACCUGGGAGGGUGAUCGGCCACACUGGAACUGAGACACGGUCCAGACUCCUACGGGAGGCAGCAGUAGGGAAUCUUCCGCAAUGGGCGAAAGCCUGACGGAGCAACGCCGCGUGAGUGAUGAAGGUCUUCGGAUCGUAAAACUCUGUUAUUAGGGAAGAACAUAUGUGUAAGUAACUGUGCACAUCUUGACGGUACCUAAUCAGAAAGCCACGGCUAACUACGUG
Molecule: ribosomal RNA, 497 nt
Filed under: uncultured bacterium
Lineage: Bacteria
Description: partial 16S ribosomal RNA
Rfam family: Bacterial small subunit ribosomal RNA
Source: RNAcentral